This 278-nucleotide ribosomal RNA is filed under the name Triticum aestivum (bread wheat). RNAcentral's name for it is "partial small subunit ribosomal RNA". The record is from RNAcentral. Lineage: Eukaryota; Viridiplantae; Streptophyta; Magnoliopsida; Poales; Poaceae.
UUCUUAUUUACGAAUACUUGCCCAACAAAAGCUUAGACUACUUCCUAUUUGAUGAUGCUAAAAGAUUUAUGCUUGAUUGGCCAACAAGGUUUAGCAUAAUCAAAGGGAUAGCUAGAGGACUUGUGUACCUCCACCAUGAUUCGAGAAUGACGAUAAUUCACAGAGAUCUCAAAGCAAGCAACAUCUUGUUGGAUGUGGAGAUGAGACCCAAAAUAUCAGAUUUUGGCAUGGCAAGGAUCUUUGGUGACAACCAGCAACAAGCAGAUACUAGACAUGUU